RNAcentral lists this ribosomal RNA (845 nucleotides) under gut metagenome. Its description in RNAcentral is "bacterial SSU rRNA". It matches the Rfam family "Bacterial small subunit ribosomal RNA", at positions 96 to 928 of the family's 1533-position model. The record is from RNAcentral.
CGGCGCACGGGUGAGUAACGCGUGAGUAACCUACCUUUUAGACUGGAAUAACUUACCGAAAGGUGAGCUAAUGCUGGAUGAGCUAUGUGAUUGAGUGGUUACAUAGGAAAGACUGGGGUAAUACCUAGUGCUAAGAGAUGGACUCGCGUCCCAUUAGCUAGUUGGUGUGGUAAAGGCAUACCAAGGCGACGAUGGGUAGCCGACUUGAGAGGGUGGUCGGCCACACUGGGACUGAGACACGGCCCAGACUCCUACGGGAGGCAGCAGUGGGGAAUUUUGCGCAAUGCUCGGAAGAGUGACGCAGCGACGCCGCGUGAAAGAAGAAGGCCUUCGGGUCGUAAAUUUUUUUUAGCAGGGAAGAAAGAGGAUAUUAGUAACUGAGUAUUCGUUGACGGUACCUGCAGAAGCAGUCCCGGCUAACUCCGUGCCAGCAGCCGCGGUAAUACGGAGGGGGCGAGCGUUGUUCGGAGUGACUGGGCGUAAAGAGCGCGUAGGCGGUGUUAUAAGUCAUUAGUCAAAGAGUAGAGCUUAACUUUAUUAAGGCUAGUGAAACUAUGGCACUAGAGUAUCAGAGAGGAUUGCAGAAUUCCUGGUGUAGCGGUGAAAUGCGUAGAUAUCAGGAGGAAUACCGGUAGCGAAGGCGGCGAUCUGGCUGGGGACUGACGCUGAGGUGCGAGAGCGUGGGUAGCAAACAGGAUUAGAUACCCUGGUAGUCCACGCUGUAAACGAUGGAUGCUAGGUGUUGGGUGUAAAAGCUCGGUGCCGAAGCGAACGCGAUAAGCAUCCCGCCUGGGGAGUACAUUUGCAAGAAUGAAACUCAAAGGAAUUGACGGGGGCCCGCACAA